RNAcentral lists this ribosomal RNA (253 nucleotides) under uncultured bacterium. Its description in RNAcentral is "partial 16S ribosomal RNA". It matches the Rfam family "Bacterial small subunit ribosomal RNA", at positions 524 to 776 of the family's 1533-position model. The record is from RNAcentral.
UACAGAGGUGGCAAGCGUUGUUCGGAAUCACUGGGCUUAAAGCGCGUGUAGGCGGACCGGAAAGUGUCGUGUGAAAGCCCCUGGCUCAACCAGGGAACUGCGCGGCAAACUCCCGGACUUGAGGCUGGUAGAGGUGCCUGGAACUCUCGGUGGAGCGGUGAAAUGCGUAGAUAUCGAGAGGAACGCCGGAGGCGAAAGCGGGGCACUGGGCCAGAUCUGACGCUGAGACGCGAAAGCGUGGGGAGCAAACAGG